Molecule: long non-coding RNA, 246 nt
Organism: Clupea harengus (Atlantic herring)
Lineage: Eukaryota; Metazoa; Chordata; Actinopteri; Clupeiformes; Clupeidae
Exons: 3
Source: RefSeq, a predicted model, not a curated record
GAAAGCCUACAGGAAGUGCUCUACCGGAAUAUCGUCGAACUGCACAGACAAGCACGAGGCGACUCCAUUAGACGCAGAGACUCCACACACAGAAUGUGCUGCAGACAGGGGGCCGUGCUGUUCAAUAUUUAUCUGCUCUUGAGGACCGCGUGCUCUGAGAAGCAGCUGUGGGUGACCGAGGGUGACGGCGUCGUCCUCCCCUGCCUUCUCCCACGUCCCUUUCCCCCUCUGAAUGAGAUGACUGGG